UACGGGAGGCAGCAGUAGGGAAUCUUGCACAAUGGGCGAAAGCCUGAUGCAGCGACGCCGCGUGCGGGAUGAAGGCCUUCGGGUUGUAAACCGCUUUCAGCAGGGACGAGGCCGCAGGGUGACGGUACCUGCAGAAGAAGCCCCGGCUAACUACGUGCCAGCAGCCGCGGGAAUAAGGGCGAAUUCG
This 187-nucleotide ribosomal RNA is filed under the name uncultured rumen bacterium. Its description in RNAcentral is "partial 16S ribosomal RNA". It matches the Rfam family "Bacterial small subunit ribosomal RNA", at positions 340 to 537 of the family's 1533-position model. The record is from RNAcentral.